This 805-nucleotide long non-coding RNA is filed under the name Capra hircus (goat). RNAcentral describes it as "lncRNA (ENSCHIG00010030135.1)". The record is from RNAcentral. Lineage: Eukaryota; Metazoa; Chordata; Mammalia; Artiodactyla; Bovidae.
UUCUCUCUCUCGCUGUUUCUGUCUGUUUCUGUCUCUGCUUUUCUCUCUGCCUCUUUGUUGCUCUCUGUUUGCCUUUUCUUUCUCCUUAAAACUGUCUCCUUUAUCAUUUCUCCCACUGACUCUUCCUGCCUCCAUCUCUACCUCUACACACCUCUCUCUUUUCUCUCUCUCUCCCCUCGCCCUCUUUUCCCCACCUCUACUCUCCCUCAUGUCUCUUCUCUUUCCCUCCUUCUCUCUGUCCCUCCAGGUGCGUCUCUUUGUCACCUCCUCUAUUCUGUCUCUGUCCCACCUACUUUCCUGUUUCUUGGUUAUAAUUCUUGGCAGCCUCUGGUGUCAGGAUGGCCUCUGACAGUUUGUAUGAAAAUCAGUGCUGGUGAUCCCAUAGAAACAAGAAUACCACUUCUUCCAUAUCUCCAGCAAAAACGCAUUUACCCCAGUCCCCCAGAAGUAAAUAAAAUUCUGUUUUGUCCAUAUCUGUAUCCAGGAGCUUUGUUUCACCCAGAUGUGUUAGACUCAAAAUGGGUUCUGUGUGACAAUAAUAAACACUAUAAUUUUAGGGAUUUACUGUGUAGCAGACCCUGUGCUGCAUAUUUAUUAUAAUCUUGUAUCCUCAACGUGUCUUUGAAUGUUUAGAACCAUACUGUACCCCUUCAAUAAAUGAGGAGAUUGUGGUUUAGAGAAAAAGUAAGUAUUGCAAUCUCAAAAACGAGAGAAUGAUCUCUGUUCAUUUCCAAGGCAAGCCAUUCAAUACCAUGGUAAUCCAAGUCUAUGCCCCGACCAGUAAUGCUCAAGAAGCUGAAGUUGA